UCAGCCUCAUCCCACCAGAAGAACGGUGGGCCUGGCCUGAGGUGGAGGCGCCAGAAGCUCCUGCAUUGCCCGUGGUGCCUGAACUCCCUGAGGUGCCCAUGGAGAUGCCUUUGGUGCUGCCCCCAGAGCUCGAGCUGCUCUCACUGGAAGCAGUGCACAGGGCAGUGGCACUGGAGCUGCAGGCUAACAGGGAGCCCGACUUCAGCAGCCUGGUGUCACCUCUCAGCCCCCGCAGGAUGGCUGCCCGGGUCUUCUACCUGCUCCUGGAUUCUUCACGUGAAACAAGAAAAGCCAUAUGGUCGCCUCCUGAUCCAGCCGGGGCCCAGAUUCCACUGAGGUUAGAGUCCAUUUACAAAGCUGCCAGGAAACCGGCCACUUCUAGUAAACCACGUCGUGCCUCACUGGGUCCUGCUUACCUCAUUUCUGAAUGUGCAUUUCCAGCCUUCUUGCUCUCAGAGCUAUUGUUCAAGCAGAAAACAAGCUGCUUUUAUUAC
Molecule: unclassified non-coding RNA, 494 nt
Filed under: Homo sapiens (human)
Lineage: Eukaryota; Metazoa; Chordata; Mammalia; Primates; Hominidae
Description: REC8 meiotic recombination protein (ENSG00000285007.2)
Source: RNAcentral